This 253-nucleotide ribosomal RNA is filed under the name uncultured bacterium. RNAcentral describes it as "partial 16S ribosomal RNA". It matches the Rfam family "Bacterial small subunit ribosomal RNA", at positions 524 to 776 of the family's 1533-position model. The record is from RNAcentral.
UACGGAGGAUGCAAGCGUUAUCCGGAAUGAUUGGGCGUAAAGGGUCCGCAGGUGGCAGUGUAAGUCUGCUGUCAAAGAAUGAGGCUUAACCUUAUCAAGGCAGUGGAAACUACACAGCUAGAGUACGGUCGGGGUAGAAGGAAUUCCUGGUGUAGCGGUGAAAUGCGUAGAGAUCGGCAGGAACACCCAGGGGGAAACCAGUCGACUGGGCAUCUACUGACGCUGAGGUGCGAGAGCGUGGGGAGCGAACCGG